Molecule: ribosomal RNA, 497 nt
Filed under: uncultured bacterium
Lineage: Bacteria
Description: partial 16S ribosomal RNA
Rfam family: Bacterial small subunit ribosomal RNA
Source: RNAcentral
GAUGAACGCUGGCGGCGUGCCUAAUACAUGCAAGUCGAACGAACGGACGAGAAUCUUGCUUCUCUGAUGUUAGCGACGGACGGGUGAUGAACCCGUGGAUAACCUACCUAUAAGACUGGGAUAACUUCGGGAAACCGUAGCUAAUACCGGAUAAUAUUUUGAACCGCAGGGUUCAAAAGUGAAAGACGUUCUUGCUGUCACUUAUAGAUGGAUCCUCGCUGCAUUAGCUAGUUGGUAAGGUAAAGGCUUACCAAGGCAACGAUGCAUAGCCGACCUGAGAGGGUGAUCGGCCACACUGGAACUGAGACACGGUCCAGACUCCUACGGGAGGCAGCAGUAGGGAAUCUUCGGCAAUGGGCGAAAGCCUGACGGAGCAACGCCGCGUGAGUGAUGAAGGUCUUCGGAUCGUAAAACUCUGUUAUUAGGGAAGAACAUAUGUGUAAGUAACUGUGGAGAUCUUGACGGUACCUAAUCAGAAAGCCACGGCUAACUACGUG